This is a non-coding RNA of Camelina sativa (false flax), 1597 nucleotides long. The record is from RefSeq and is a predicted model, not a curated record. Lineage: Eukaryota; Viridiplantae; Streptophyta; Magnoliopsida; Brassicales; Brassicaceae.
CUACUUUUGGUCUGAAUUCCAGAUCUGUCUCUCGUCUCCUCCGCCUGUGAGAAAGAAAUCGAUUUUCUGAGGAAGAAAGAUUUGAUACGACCAUUGCCUGAGGAGAAUAUCCAGCUUCAUUCAUUGACAAAGUCCCAAAUCAAUUCAAUUGAAUUCAAUCAAAUCAUUGAACUCAGGCUGAGAUACAGAUGUUGUCGAAAAAACAUCGUCCGUGUGUGGAAUUGCUACCCCACGAUAUGUGGUAGAGCUCAUCCUCGAGAGACUUCCCAUCCAGGUUCUCCUUGUAUACAGGUCCGUAUCCAAGGAGUGGAAAUCGACAAUCGAUUCUCGACAAUUCAAGGAACGACGUCUGGACCACUGUAGGCAGUCACGAGGUGUCUAUGUCCUUUUCAUGUGUGUCAAUGGUGAAAAUACCAUGAAACUAAGGGAUUAUCAAUCAUUUAAGUUCGGGUCAUCAAUAGCUUGGACGGUAAGGUUCCCGUAUUUGGGCCCCUUGUUCUGCUAUGGCAGUUGCGACGGUAUGCUAUGCCUCUACAGUAUCCACAAUCCAAGUUACGUGGUGAAUCCCGCAACUGGAUGGUAUCAGAGUUUUCCUCUUAGCAGCUAUCAACAGCUCCACAUCCCUUUGUUCGAUAGAAUAAAGGUCAACUUCCCAAGUGCUAAGCUUGGACUCGGUAGAGACAAAGUAACCGGCACGUACAAGCCGGUUUGGUUAUAUACUUCAUCCAUAUUUGGCCUAGACAAUGCUACUACUACGUGUGAGCUUUUCGAUUUUACCACCAAUGCUUGGAGGUACGUUGUCCCUGCUUCUUCUUAUGAGAUCAACGCUUAUCAUAAACCGGUGUAUAUAGAUGGGUCACUUUAUUGGUUCACCAACUGUGAAGAACCCACCCAAGUUACUAUGUUUCGAUCUUCACACCGAAACUUUCCAAGUCAUCUGUAAAACUCCCUUUACGCAUCCAUGUGACCCUCGUCAGCUCACCAUGUGCAUCCUCAAUGAUCACUUGUGCUGUCUCUGAGAAAAAAUGGCCCACUCAAGUCAUAUGGUCGUUCAAUUCUUCAGGCAAAACUUGGAACCUAAUGUGUUCCAUAGAUCUCACCCAAACUUUUUCUUGGUUUGGGGUACCCAUGUUCGCCCUCUCACCGAUUGCAAUUAUGGACAACGGUAAGUUAUUGCUUCAAGGUCGUGAUACCUCCCACCCACUGGUGAUACAUGACCUCCAUACCAAAUCCUACGAGCUUCUCUUUACACCUACCAGACCUGUAGGUUCUGUAUAUCAUGUUGAGAGUUUAUUCUCUGCUUUGUCGAACUAACCUCUCACCAAUGGAAAUUAUUGACAACGGUACCUUAUUGCUUCAAGGUCGUGAUACCCCUCGCACGCACUAGUGAUACAUGAUCUUCGUACCAAAUCCUACGAUUUUCUUUUUUUUGGUACGGUUGUAAGCAUAAACGAUGAUUUGAUUAGUGUCAUGAAUGGUUUGCAGUUUUCAAUUGGUUUUGGGUUUUUAGCAGUGCCGGUUUAAACAUAUUACAUGCCCCUGGGCAAACUAAAAAAAAUGUCCCUUAAUCUAUAGAAAAAUUUACUGUUUUCUUUUA